CGCGGUAUUUUGACCGUGCAAAGGUAGCGUAAUCACCUGUCUUUUAAAUAAAGACCUGUAUGAAUGGCAAGACGAGGGUUUUACUGUCUCCUCCCCCCAGUCAAUGAAAUUGAUCUACCCGUGCAGAAGCGGGUAUAAAAACAUAAGACGAGAAGACCCUAUGGAGCUUUAGGCAUAUAUCAAAUAUGUAAAAAACCAAAUUUUUCCAAAUAGGCCUAAAAAAUGAGAAAAACAAGUAUUAAUGAUUAAGUGCCUUCGGUUGGGGCGACCACGGGGAAAAAUAAAACCCCCACAUGGAAUGGGAAAAAUAACCCUAAGCCAAGAAAAACACUUCUAAGCAACAAAAUUUUUGACCAAUAAACGACCCAGGGACACCAUCCCUGAGCAAUGAACCAAGUUACCCUAGGGAUAACAGCGCAAUCCUUUCCCAGAGCCCAUAUCAACGAAAGGGUUUACGACCUCGAUGUUGGAUCAGGGCAUCCUAACGGUGCAGCCGCUGUUAAGGGUUCGUUUGUUCAACGAUUAAUAGCCCU
This 533-nucleotide ribosomal RNA is filed under the name Conger erebennus. RNAcentral's name for it is "partial 16S ribosomal RNA". It matches the Rfam family "Bacterial large subunit ribosomal RNA", at positions 1932 to 2597 of the family's 2925-position model. The record is from RNAcentral. Lineage: Eukaryota; Metazoa; Chordata; Actinopteri; Anguilliformes; Congridae.